UUCAUCGAUAGGUGUAAACCCAUAAAUUGAUACAUUUCAUUAAUGUCCUUGACCAACAACCAACCACCAGGCCACUAAUGGUACAUAACGUUGCACAACUACCUCUUAGUAGUUCCUCAUCGACUCUAUUUUUCCCAACUCUGGUAGUAUCACUCACAGAAGCACCAAAGCCUUCAUGCCUCCACAUAAGGGUGCAAAAUCGGCCCAAACCCGUCUCACCAAUGAAAAAUGCUAGCCAAAAUUCAAUCCAUCCGCUUGCUAAAGCCCAACCCAUCAAGGGACAAAAAAAAAAACUUGCUUUGCAGUAUGGCUGUGGCUGAGCGGCCAAAUGUGUUAAAAGCCCAACAAGUUUAUCCAAACAAGUUGAUUACAUCUUUGAGCUCCACGUUGAUCACCAUGGCCGAGUUCAUCUCUUCAUAUGCUGCACAGAACUUCGCAAAAACGUUCGCCAAACCUCUUGGUUAUGCUCUCCUUGUUUUUAUUGUAGAUUUAAAAGGUUAGCCAGUCAGAUAUCCUUGUAUGUUCAUUUAAAGUUCAGUGAUUUUUCUUUGUUUAUGAAGUGGUGUCUCAUUUAUAAUACAAUAUAGUGCAAUUUCUUUUGUCUA
Long non-coding RNA from Lycium barbarum (goji berry), 605 nucleotides. RefSeq lists it as uncharacterized. The record is from RefSeq and is a predicted model, not a curated record. NCBI's taxonomy places the organism in Eukaryota, Viridiplantae, Streptophyta, Magnoliopsida, Solanales, Solanaceae. The transcript has 3 exons.